AGAGGGCGUGAAACCGCUUGGAAGGAAACGAGAGGCGAGGCAGCAAGCCGGUGGAAUUCAGUUGGCCGCCUCCUGGCCAAUGCAUUUUCCAUCGGUGUGCGUCGGGACUGAUCUGUUGAUGUCGGUGCCUUGGCUGUAGGGAACCGCGUAUGUGGAACUUUGCAGUCUUGGUUCUCCCAUCGAUGGACUUGUAGUCAUCCAGCCAUAUGGGAGUGAGCUGGUAGCGCUUUGGGUUGGCUGCUCUUGUUGAGAACACUCGGCUUGGGCGGUUGGCUUUGUGCGUUGCCGGUAUGUGCAUGUUGGGUGUCCUGGCGUUAAUGUCGGCUACCCUCCCGACCCGUCUUGAAACACGGACCAAGGAGUCUAACAUGUGCGCGAGUCAUUGGGUGUCAAACUCAUAGGCGCAAUGAAAGUGAAUGUCGGCUCGGUCGACUGAUACAUGACCCGGCGGCUUGCUGUCGGAGCAAUGUAGUCCCAUCCCGAUUGCUCGUCAAUGGGGUGGAGACAGAGCGUAUUUGUUGGGACCCGAAAGAUGGUG
RNAcentral lists this ribosomal RNA (538 nucleotides) under Desmoscolecidae sp. 612_6-1500_T. RNAcentral's name for it is "eukaryotic LSU rRNA". It matches the Rfam family "Eukaryotic large subunit ribosomal RNA", at positions 392 to 828 of the family's 3401-position model. Lineage: Eukaryota; Metazoa; Nematoda; Chromadorea; Desmoscolecida; Desmoscolecidae. The record is from RNAcentral.